This 375-nucleotide ribosomal RNA is filed under the name uncultured bacterium. Its description in RNAcentral is "bacterial SSU rRNA". It matches the Rfam family "Bacterial small subunit ribosomal RNA", at positions 30 to 416 of the family's 1533-position model. The record is from RNAcentral.
AGCGAACGCUGGCGGCGUGGCUAAGCCAUGCAAGUCGAACGAACCGUAAGGUUAGUGGCGGAAGGGUGCGUAAUGUAUGGGCAAUCUGCCCUUGAGAGGAGCAUAGCCGGGGGAAACCCGGGUAAUACUCCAUAAAGUCCCGCGGAGGCAUCUCCGAGGGACCAAAGGUCUGCCGCUCGAGGAGGAGCCCAUAUCCUAUCAGCUAGUUGGCGGGGUAACGGCCCACCAAGGCUGCGACGGGUAGCCGGACUGAGAGGUCGGCCGGCCACAUCGGGACUGAGACACUGCCCGGACUCCUACGGGGGGCGUGCAGGAACGAAUAUUCCGCAAUGAGCGCAAGCUUGACGGAGCGACGCCGCGUGCAGGACGAAGUCC